AACGAACGCUGGCGGCAGGCCUAACACAUGCAAGUCGAGCGCCCCGCAAGGGGAGCGGCGGACGGGUGAGUAACGCGUGGGAAUUUUUCCUGGAGUACGGAACAACCGAGGAAACUUCGGCUAAUACCGUAUGAUGUCUAGCGACCAAAGAUUUAUCGCUCUGGGGUAAGCCCGCGUCAGAUUAGGUAGUUGGUGGGGUAACGGCCUACCAAGCCUGCGACCUGUAGCUGGUCUGAGAGGACGANCAGCCACACUGGGACUGAGACACGGCCCAGACUCCUACGGGAGGCAGCAGUGGGGAAUCUUGCGCAAUGCGCGAAAGCGUGACGCAGCAACGCCGCGU
Molecule: ribosomal RNA, 343 nt
Filed under: uncultured bacterium
Lineage: Bacteria
Description: bacterial SSU rRNA
Rfam family: Bacterial small subunit ribosomal RNA
Source: RNAcentral